Molecule: long non-coding RNA, 284 nt
Filed under: Lathyrus oleraceus (garden pea)
Lineage: Eukaryota; Viridiplantae; Streptophyta; Magnoliopsida; Fabales; Fabaceae
Description: Pisum sativum (pea) long non-coding RNA (PSAT_LNC003558)
Source: RNAcentral
GAGAACAAAAAAAGAGGUUCGUGGUUUCUUAGGUAGAUUGAACUGCAUUUCACGGUUCAUAUCUCAUCUGAUAGCCACGUGGGAACCCAUUCAAGAAAAGAAAAGAUCAAACGGUCAGGUGAAAUAAUGAUUGCCAAGGGGCAUUGAGAAAUAAAAGAAUAAGUUGCAGGAACCUCCGAUUCUGUUGCCUCCCUAUGGAGAGAGACCUUAAAUCCUAUACUUGACAGCCCUCGAGGAGUCUAUGAGGUGUGUAUUGGGGCAGCAUGACGAGUCUGGUCGAAAAG